RNAcentral lists this ribosomal RNA (468 nucleotides) under uncultured bacterium. RNAcentral's name for it is "partial 16S ribosomal RNA". It matches the Rfam family "Bacterial small subunit ribosomal RNA", at positions 28 to 507 of the family's 1533-position model. The record is from RNAcentral.
GAUGAACGCUGACAGAAUGCUUAACACAUGCAAGUCUACUUGAAUUUGGGUUCUUUAGCGUAGAUUUGGGUGGCGGACGGGUUAGUAACGCGUAAAGAACUUGCCUCACAGCUAGGGACAACAUUUGGAAACGAAUGCUAAUACCUGAUAUUAUGAUUAUAAUGCAUCUUAGGAUUAUGAAAGCUAUAUGCGCUGUGAGAGAGCUUUGCGUCCCAUUAGCUAGUUGGAGAGGUAACGGCUCACCAAGGCGAUGAUGGGUAGCCGGCCUGAGAGGGUGAACGGCCACAAGGGGACUGAGACACGGCCCUUACUCCUACGGGAGGCAGCAGUGGGGAAUAUUGGACAAUGGACCAAGAGUCUGAUCCAGCAAUUCUGUGUGCACGAUGACGUUUUUCGGAAUGUAAAGUGCUUUCAGUUGGGAAGAAAAAAAUGGCGGUACCAACAGAAGAAGUGACGGCUAAAUACGUG